RNAcentral lists this non-coding RNA (32 nucleotides) under Homo sapiens (human). Lineage: Eukaryota; Metazoa; Chordata; Mammalia; Primates; Hominidae. The record is from RNAcentral.
UUGCAGCCGAUCCAGCCUCCCUUUGCUGCAGU